UGCGUAGGCGGAAAAUUAAGUCAGUGGUGAAACCCUGCAGCUUAACUGUAGAACUGUCAUUGAUACUGAUUUUCUUGAAUAUAGUUGAGGUAGGCGGAAUGUGUAAUGUAGCGGUGAAAUGCUUAGAUAUUACACAGAACACCGAUUGCGAAGGCAGCUUACUAAGCUAUUAUUGACGCUGAGGCACGAAAGCGUGGGGAGCGAACAGGAUUAGAUACCCUGGUAGUCC
This 229-nucleotide ribosomal RNA is filed under the name uncultured bacterium. RNAcentral's name for it is "partial 16S ribosomal RNA". It matches the Rfam family "Bacterial small subunit ribosomal RNA", at positions 568 to 796 of the family's 1533-position model. The record is from RNAcentral.